GGUCAAGUGAAUGUAAGUUUAGUGGCGGACGGGUGAGUAACGCGUGAGGAACCCUGGCCUUUCAGAGGGGGGACAACAGUUGGAAACGACUGCUAAUACCGCAUAACGCGUAGAGGUCGCAUGGCCUUUACGCCAAAGAUUUAUCGCUGAAAGAUGGCCUCGCGUCUGAUUAGCUAGUUGGUGAGGUAGCGGCCCACCAAGGCGACGGAUCAGUAGCCGGUCUGAGAGGAUGAACGGCCACAUUGGGACUGAGACACGGCCCAAACUCCUACGGGAGGCAGCAGUGGGGAAUAUUGGGCAAUGGGGGAAACCCUGACCCAGCAACGCCGCGUGAAGGAAGAAGGCCUUCGGGUUGUAAACUUCUUUUGGCAGGGACGAAGAACGUGACGGUACCUGCAGAAAAAGCAACGGCUAACUACGUG
Molecule: ribosomal RNA, 422 nt
Filed under: uncultured bacterium
Lineage: Bacteria
Description: bacterial SSU rRNA
Rfam family: Bacterial small subunit ribosomal RNA
Source: RNAcentral